This 625-nucleotide long non-coding RNA is filed under the name Sinocyclocheilus grahami. RNAcentral describes it as "lncRNA (ENSSGRG00000011750.1)". Lineage: Eukaryota; Metazoa; Chordata; Actinopteri; Cypriniformes; Cyprinidae. The record is from RNAcentral.
AGCGGGUGGGGUUGGAUUGCUGUGGCUUGUGUAUUUGAAGUGUUUCAAGAAACGCUCAGACCAUGAAAAGGUUGAAAAAAAGGAUGAGGAUGGAUUCUAACUCCCUCACAUACCUGGUCUUCAUGAAGUUGUCCUGCAUGAAAUCCAAGUGAAGAAUCCUGCAAAUAUAUAUACGCACUUCCCAGAACCCGGCAAGAGGCGGACUGAUUUCCCGCAACAAAUUCCUCCAGUCAGAACCAAUGUUGCUUUAAAAACACGAGCUUAAUUUAGAAAAACUCCUUUCUAGCAGUCUCUAACUUUUUUCCCAUUCUGUACUCUAAAACAGAUCUGUCAUCGUCACAUAAGUAAGGUUGAUUUCACGUUUAUAAAGUGUAUGCUUGUCAUUUCUUAAUUUUUAACACUGUUAAUACAGUGAUCACUCUUCCUGAGAACAUCUAAGGAUUCAUGACAAAAAAAGUGCACUGACUGUCCCUUAGCUUACCGAUUUAGUCGAGGGCUGCGUUUAGCAUGAAUAUUUAUGUAGAAAGUCAAUCAAAUUUAAAAGAGAUGAAUGUCUGAAUUUGUAACUAUUUCAUAGUAUUUGGGAAUCCACAUUGUUCAAACAAAACCAAAUGUUGUACAAUGC